GGUGCUGUAGACAAAUUGGUAAAGUCACAGGGCUUUCAAUCCUGGGUUUGCGGGUUCGAUCCCCGUCAGCACUGCCA
RNAcentral lists this transfer RNA (77 nucleotides) under Alkalinema pantanalense CENA528. RNAcentral describes it as "tRNA-Glu". It matches the Rfam family "tRNA". From Rfam's summary of the family: Transfer RNA (tRNA) molecules are approximately 80 nucleotides in length. Their secondary structure includes four short double-helical elements and three loops (D, anti-codon, and T loops). Lineage: Bacteria; Bacillati; Cyanobacteriota; Cyanophyceae; Leptolyngbyales; Leptolyngbyaceae. RNAcentral also lists the same sequence under 1 other name. The record is from RNAcentral.